GGCGUAACAACAGGUGGCGGUGGGCACGGUGAUGGCGGUGGCGGUGGGCACGGUGAUGGCGGCGUUACGACGGGUGAAGGCGUAUGAGUGGGUGGUUUAGGGGUGGACGGAGGUGGUUUAACAGUGGGCGGUUUCGUGGGUGGUUUCGGGGUAGACGGAGGAGGUUUAACGGUGGGCGGUUUCGUGGGUGGUUUCGGGGUGGACGGAGGUGGUUUAACGGUGGGCGGUUUCGUGGGUGGUUUCGGGGUGGGAUGAGGUUUGGUAGGGGGUUUCGGAUGUGGGUGUGGUUUGACAGUGGGCGGUUUGGUAGGGGGUUUAGGGUGUGGGUGUGGUUUGACGGUGGGUGGUUUGGGAGGUUUUACUGCCGGUGGUUUAGGCGGUUUGCUAGGAUGUUUAGGCGGUUUGUGGGGGUGAGGUGAUGGUUUAGGAGGGCUACAGUCGCAAGCGAAGGAGACGGCAAGAAAGCCAAGGAAGAGGAGGAUAAGAAAAGAGAG
This 494-nucleotide long non-coding RNA is filed under the name Brassica napus (rape). RNAcentral describes it as "long non-coding RNA (BNAP_LNC002714)". Lineage: Eukaryota; Viridiplantae; Streptophyta; Magnoliopsida; Brassicales; Brassicaceae. The record is from RNAcentral.